This 467-nucleotide ribosomal RNA is filed under the name uncultured diatom. Its description in RNAcentral is "SSU rRNA". It matches the Rfam family "Bacterial small subunit ribosomal RNA", at positions 217 to 699 of the family's 1533-position model. Lineage: Eukaryota; Bacillariophyta. The record is from RNAcentral.
GCCUAAGGAAGAGCUCACGGCUGAUUAGCUAGUUGGUAAGGUAAAGGCUUACCAAGGCGACGAUCAGUAUCUGGUUUGAGAGGAUGAUCAGACACACUGGAACUGAGACACGGUCCAGACUCCUACGGGAGGCAGCAGUGGGGAAUUUUCCGCAAUGGGCGAAAGCCUGACGGAGCAAUGCCGCGUGAGGGAUGAAAGCCUCAGGGUUGUAAACCUCUUUUUUCAGGGAAGAAAUAAUGACGUUACCUGAAGAAUAAGCAUCGGCUAACUCCGUGCCAGCAGCCGCGGUAAGACGGAGGAUGCAAGUGUUAUCCGGAAUCACUGGGCGUAAAGCGUCUGUAGGUGGUCUAAUAAGUCAAAUGUUAAAUCUUGAAGCUCAACUUCAAAACUGCAUUUGAAACUAUUAGACUAGAGUAUAGUAGAGGUAAAGGGAAUUUCCAGUGGAGCGGUGAAAUGCGUAGAGAUUG